ACACAUGCAAGUCGAACGGCAGCACGGGUGCUUGCACCUGGUGGCGAGUGGCGAACGGGUGAGUAAUACAUCGGAACAUGUCCUGUAGUGGGGGAUAGCCCGGCGAAAGCCGGAUUAAUACCGCAUACGAUCUACGGAUGAAAGCGGGGGACCUUCGGGCCUCGCGCUAUAGGGUUGGCCGAUGGCUGAUUAGCUAGUUGGUGGGGUAAAGGCCUACCGAGGCGACGAUCAGUAGCUGGUCUGAGAGGACGACCAGCCACACUGGGACUGAGACACGGCCCAGACUCCUACGGGAGGCAGCAGUGGGGAAUUUUGGACAAUGGGCGAAAGCCUGAUCCAGCAAUGCCGCGUGUGUGAAGAAGGCCUUCGGGUUGUAAAGCACUUUUGUCCGGAAAGAAAUCCUUGGUUCUAAUAUAGCCGGGGGAUGACGGUACCGGAAGAAUAAGCACCGGCUAACUACGUGCCAGCAGCCGCGGUAAUACGUAGGGUGCGAGCGUUAAUCGGAAUUACUGGGCGUAAAGCGUGCGCAGGCGGUUUGCUAAGACCGAUGUGAAAUCCCCGGGCUCAACCUGGGAACUGCAUUGGUGACUGGCAGGCUAGAGUAUGGCAGAGGGGGGUAGAAUUCCACGUGUAGCAGUGAAAUGCGUAGAGAUGUGGAGGAAUACCGAUGGCGAAGGCAGCCCCCUGGGCCAAUACUGACGCUCAUGCACGAGAGCGUGGGGAGCAAA
RNAcentral lists this ribosomal RNA (728 nucleotides) under uncultured beta proteobacterium. RNAcentral's name for it is "bacterial SSU rRNA". It matches the Rfam family "Bacterial small subunit ribosomal RNA", at positions 51 to 772 of the family's 1533-position model. Lineage: Bacteria; Pseudomonadati; Pseudomonadota; Betaproteobacteria. The record is from RNAcentral.